This 494-nucleotide non-coding RNA is filed under the name Caenorhabditis japonica. RNAcentral describes it as "Eukaryotic small subunit ribosomal RNA". It matches the Rfam family "Eukaryotic small subunit ribosomal RNA", at positions 1 to 521 of the family's 1831-position model. Lineage: Eukaryota; Metazoa; Nematoda; Chromadorea; Rhabditida; Rhabditidae. The record is from Rfam by way of RNAcentral.
UACCUGAUUGAUUCUGUCAGCGCGAUAUGCUCAAGUAAAAGAUUAAGCCAUGCAUGCUUUGAUUCAUAAAUGAAAUUGCGUACGGCUCAUUAGAGCAGAUAUCACCUUUCUCGGAAUCCUGAAAAGGAUAACUGCGGAAAUUCUGGAGCUAAUACAUGCGACUAUACUCCAACGCAAGGCGGGGUGCAAUUAUUAGAACAGACCAAACGUUUUCGGACGUUGUUUGUUGACUCUGAAUACCGUCGUUUACUGUCAGUUUCGACUGACUCUAUCCGAGAAGGGUGUCUGCCCUUUCAACUAGAUGGUAAUCUAUUGGACUACCAUGGUUGUUACGGGUAACGGAGAAUUAGGGUUCGACUCCGGAGAGGGAGCCUUAGAAACGGCUACCACGUCCAAGGAAGGCAGCAGGCGCGAAACUUAUCCACUGUUGAGUAUGAGAUAGUGACUAAAAAUAUAAAGACUCAUCCUUUUGGAUGAGUUAUUUCAAUGAGUUG